This 460-nucleotide ribosomal RNA is filed under the name uncultured bacterium. RNAcentral's name for it is "partial 16S ribosomal RNA". It matches the Rfam family "Bacterial small subunit ribosomal RNA", at positions 338 to 795 of the family's 1533-position model. The record is from RNAcentral.
CCUACGGGAGGCAGCAGUGAGGAAUAUUGGUCAAUGGCCGAGAGUCUGAACCAGCCAAGUAGCGUGAAGGAUGACUGCCCUAUGGUUUGUAAACUUCUUUUAUAUGGGAAUAAAAUGUUCCACGUGUGGGAUUUUGUAUGUACCAUAUGAAUAAGGAUCGGCUAACUCCGUGCCAGCAGCCGCGGUAAUACGGAGGAUCCGAGCGUUAUCCGGAUUUAUUGGGUUUAAAGGGAGCGUAGGUGGAUUGUUAAGUCAGGUGUGAAAGUUUGCGGCUCAACCGUAAAAUUGCAGUUGAAACUGGCAGUCGUGAGUACAGUAGAGGUGGGCGGAAUGCGUGGUGUAGCGGUGAAAGGCUGAGAUAUCACGAAGAACUCCGAGUGCGAAGGCAGCUCACUGGAGGGCAACUGACACUGAGGCUCGAAAGUGUGGGUAUCAAACAGGAUUAGAUACCCUGGUAGUC